RNAcentral lists this unclassified non-coding RNA (250 nucleotides) under uncultured Russula. RNAcentral describes it as "sequence contains ITS2". Lineage: Eukaryota; Fungi; Basidiomycota; Agaricomycetes; Russulales; Russulaceae. The record is from RNAcentral.
AACAUCCUCAACCUGCUUGGUUUUAUUGAACCAAGUAGGCUUGGAAUUUGGAGGUUUUCUGCUGGCCUCCUCCGAAGCCAGCUCCUCUUAAAUGUAUCAGUGGGAUCUGCUUUGCUAGAUCCUCGACAUUGAUAAGAUGUUUCUAUGUCUUGGGUUUCGCUCAGGAAGGAACCUGCUUCUAACCAUCCCAUCAGGGACAAUGUUCAAGCUGAUCGCCCUUCACAGGGUGGGAAGCUUUCGACCCAUGAAA